GCCGUGGGUGGCCCAGCGGGUGUGGCCGAUGCCGAUGGCGCCGGCGAGCGGAUUCUGCAGGAGCUUGAGCUGCAGGUUCGACAGCUUGCCCUCGGCGC
This 98-nucleotide transfer RNA is filed under the name Methylobacterium frigidaeris. RNAcentral's name for it is "tRNA-Ala". The record is from RNAcentral. Lineage: Bacteria; Pseudomonadati; Pseudomonadota; Alphaproteobacteria; Hyphomicrobiales; Methylobacteriaceae.